GCACUACAACUGACACUGCAGUAAGGAAGAAUUUGGACAUCGAUUGCUGGAAAAAUAUGGACAGCAUAAGCGAGGCCAGUUCUGGAAGGAAUUUCAGCUUCACUUCAGGAGGUUCAGCUCAACAAUUUCUGAAGCACAAAGCAGAUGAAUUCAGAAUAAGCAGCAAGUUCUGAUGCCCACAAUUCAGGAAGGAUGUUGACAAAUCAGAGGGGGUUCAGAGAAGAGCCACAACAAGAAUUCAAGGAUAGAGAUUUAUAGUGAGACUCAAGCAGCCAGACCAGCCAUCAGUGAGGAGUGAUCCACCCCAUCAGAGGCAGCCGCCCGACCCUGGGGGAAUCGCAAGUGCAGGAGGGUCCACAAGGACCUCAUAAGAGAGCAUGAGACAAUCCUGCAUGACAUGCAGCAAACCCUGGCCCAGAAGGUCCAGGAUGGUGCCCAGUGGAAGACCCGCAGAUGAGACCAGCUUGUGGGGCAGGGCAACAAUAUUUGUGCCACCAUCAGAGAAAUGAUGGCACACCCGGCUCCUGUCCUUGCUCCUGACGCCCAGCCUCCUCUGCUGUGCCUCUGCCCCCUUCCCAUGUCCCUCUGCCAUCCCUGACCCCACUUCAG
This is a long non-coding RNA of Pelodiscus sinensis (Chinese soft-shelled turtle), 609 nucleotides long. RefSeq lists it as uncharacterized. The record is from RefSeq and is a predicted model, not a curated record. Lineage: Eukaryota; Metazoa; Chordata; Testudines; Trionychidae.